This 254-nucleotide ribosomal RNA is filed under the name uncultured prokaryote. RNAcentral describes it as "partial 16S ribosomal RNA". It matches the Rfam family "Bacterial small subunit ribosomal RNA", at positions 525 to 777 of the family's 1533-position model. The record is from RNAcentral.
ACGUAGGGGGCGAGCGUUGUCCGGAUUUAUUGGGCGUAAAGAGCUCGUAGGCGGUUCGCUAAGUCGGGUGUGAAACCUCCAGGCUCAACCUGGAGACGCCACCUGAUACUGGUGUGACUAGAGUCCGGUAGGGGAGUGUGGAACUCCUGGUGUAGCGGUGAAAUGCGCAGAUAUCAGGAAGAACACCAGCGGCGAAGGCGGCACUCUGGGCCGGUACUGACGCUGAGGAGCGAAAGCGUGGGUAGCAAACAGGA